This 491-nucleotide ribosomal RNA is filed under the name uncultured bacterium. RNAcentral's name for it is "partial 16S ribosomal RNA". It matches the Rfam family "Bacterial small subunit ribosomal RNA", at positions 29 to 506 of the family's 1533-position model. The record is from RNAcentral.
AGUGAACGCUGGCGGUAGGCCUAACACAUGCAAGUCGAACGGCAGCACAGUAAGAGCUUGCUCUUACGGGUGGCGAGUGGCGGACGGGUGAGGAAUACAUCGGAAUCUACUUUUUCGUGGGGGAUAACGUAGGGAAACUUACGCUAAUACCGCAUACGACCUACGGGUGAAAGCAGGGGAUCUUCGGACCUUGCGCGAUUGAAUGAGCCGAUGUCGGAUUAGCUAGUUGGCGGGGUAAAGGCCCACCAAGGCGACGAUCCGUAGCUGGUCUGAGAGGAUGAUCAGCCACACUGGAACUGAGACACGGUCCAGACUCCUACGGGAGGCAGCAGUGGGGAAUAUUGGACAAUGGGCGCAAGCCUGAUCCAGCCAUACCGCGUGGGUGAAGAAGGCCUUCGGGUUGUAAAGCCCUUUUGUUGGGAAAGAAAAGCAGCAGGUUAAUACCCCGCUGUUCUGACGGUACCCAAAGAAUAAACACCGGCCAACUUCGU